Molecule: RNA transcript, 3093 nt
Organism: Wasmannia auropunctata (little fire ant)
Lineage: Eukaryota; Metazoa; Arthropoda; Insecta; Hymenoptera; Formicidae
Gene name: probable protein phosphatase CG10417
Exons: 7
Source: RefSeq, a predicted model, not a curated record
CAGAAAGCCAAACCGGUCAUGGGAGGCUAGUUAACGACUGUGCACCACGCUUGUGAGUUCUGUUUUUCUGGCGGAACGUAUAGCGAUAUAACAUUUUACGCGGACGCCGCGGGAGUAGCACGACGGCCAGCCGGUAUUUAUAAAAAAGAUGGGAGCGUACUUGUCGGAGCCGAUUACGAAGAAGGAGUCGAGCGACGAAGUGGGAAAGGAUGUCGCGUACGGCGCGAGCUCCAUGCAGGGCUGGCGGAUCAGUCAGGAGGAUGCUCAUAACUGUUGCAUAGAUUUUGAUGAGAAUGUCUCGUUGUUCGCCGUCUACGACGGUCAUGGUGGACACGAGGUUGCGACGUACUGCGCGCGCAAUCUCCCUGAUUUUAUCAAACAGACAGAAGCUUAUAAAAAGGACGACAUUAGGCAAGCUUUAAUAGAUGCUUUCCUCGGUUUCGACGACACCCUUACAAAACCAGAGGUAGUCAGUGUACUCAAAGAGCUCGCGGGGACGUCCACGUCAGAGAAAAAGGAGGGCGACCUGAACGAAUCUGAUGAGGAAGAGAAUGUUAGUAAUCUGUGUAUGGAGGCGACAAUGCCGUUGGAGCAAGUAAUGGCAAAGUAUCAGUCAGAGGUGUCGAAUCCUCAUCUAAAAAACCUGAAGGGCGAGAAGUGUGGUAAACGCGCAUUCGCAAGUCCGUUUCUGCGAGGUCGGAGAGGACGGGAGAAAGCGAGCGGCUCGUCAACAGGCGCUGGAUGCUCAUCGUCGCCGUCGCCAUCGCCGCCACCGACACCGACACUGUCCUCAUUGUCGUCGUCGUCCUCGUCCUCAUCCGCGUCCGACUGGAAUACAAACGAGACAGACGUGAGUAGUUCCAGUCAGCCGUGCGGAUCGGCUCUGUCCAGCACAGUGGAGCGAAAGGAUUCCGACAGCCCGGGAAACAACGAAGCUGAGCAAGUGCUGGAUUCGACGACGAGCAACGGCAGCGCUCAUGCGUCUCCACCGGUUGUAUCCAGCAAGGAAGGAGAAACUGCUAAGUCUAUGGAUAUGCCCGAUAGCUCCGAGGACGUGAAGGAGAAAGUCUCGAGUCCCGGCAAGGCGCCACCAUGCGCGGAGUCCAAUGCGAACGAGGUGGAAGUUAAUGGCGCGGAAUCGAAGAGGAUCGGAGAUGCAGACAGCAGUAAGGGCGGAGGGGACAACGUAUCGAGCAGUUCUUGUACCCCUGUGGAAAACGGAGACGCGGACCAGCAAGAACGGAUAACCAGCAGUGGUCGAAGAAGAACUCAGCCUGUCGAUCUUUAUCAAAGUCUACUGAAAAAGGACAGCGAUUCUGAAGAAGAUGACGACGAUGACGAAAAUGAUGAAACAUUCGAUGGUAUACCCGAAAGUGACGGAGAUACGGAAGAUAUUGACGAGGAUGAAAGUGAAGAAGAUGAUGACGAAGUUGAGGAGGAAGAUAUAGAUUCUGAUGAUGAUACUGAUGAUCUCAUGGUGAACUCUGAAAAGCCUGGUUCGGACAGUGGCUGCACAGCAGUUGUAGCCGUGCUGAAGGGAAAUGAAUUGUACGUCGCCAAUGCUGGAGACUCUCGGUGUGUCCUAUGCAGGGAUGGCCAAGCGAUCGAACUUAGUCUGGACCAUAAACCCGAAGACGCACCGGAAAUGGAACGUAUUGUAAAAGCAGGCGGAGAGGUGAUGAACGACGGCAGAGUGAAUGGCGGCCUCAAUCUUUCCAGAGCGCUCGGCGAUCACGCGUAUAAGCAAAACACGGGACUACCACCCGAGAAACAAAUGAUCUCCGCCCUGCCAGACAUAAGGCAUGUUACAAUCGAUCCGGAGAAAGACGAAUUUAUGGUGCUGGCUUGCGAUGGUAUAUGGAACUUCAUGACCAGUCAAAACGUCGUUCAGUUUGUGCGCACCCGUUUGUCACAAAAUUACGAGAACAUUUCGAAAAUCUGCGAGGAGCUCUUCGAUCAUUGUCUUGCACCAGACACUCUCGGCGAUGGAACGGGCUGCGACAACAUGACUGCCGUAAUAGUUAAGUUUCAAUCGCCGGCAUCUGUUAAAAAUAACACCGUUGCGGAGGUAUGCGUUACGAAGAAGCGAUCGGUCUCGCCAACCGCUGAAGAAAAUAACGACUGUAUCCCGGGAGAAAACACGGUAAACCCCUGCAAACGCGCCAAGACCGAGGCAGCUAUGUGAAUUAGGAGUCACCGCGCGUCAUGAACUGAUCUCCGGGAGCGGACGAAUGAAUAUAUCUACUCGUGCCUACGUGUACAUCAAGCUCCUUCACCCCGAUAUCUACCCAACAUGAACACGAGCGAACUGAAAGAGUGCGCGUGUUUUAGCAUGGCGACUGUCUCUGUAGAACUUUGGUCUAAUGAGAAAAUAACGCGAUCUGGAUUUAUAAACUAAUAUUAUUAAUCUGAUUGUGGCGUCAACCGCCAACACUCGUCGCAACAAUUUUUCGAGGUUUACGUUACGUUGACAUAUAUAGGCAAUACUUGAACAAAUAAAGACCUACUGUCAUAUUUUUUACAGUUAAGACUCUUACACGUUGCAUAAAGAUUUCUGUUUCGAUUUCGUAAUGCGAUAGCAAAAUCUUUAUGUUUCCAUUGUAGAGAUUCGCGAAGAAACAUUAAAAUUGUGUGAGGCAACCAUUGUAGAGAAUAGGAACAUGAAUCAACCCAGUGACAUCUUCGUGACAAUUGUGACAUUUUCCACCAAUAUAUAUAUAUAUUAUAUAUAUUCUUCUGUCGACACUCAUGUGUAAUCACAGCCGUUAGUAGACAGUAAUUUCAUCGACGAAAAUUGUUUAUAGUUAAUAAUACAAAAGCAAUCACGAUACUCUUAUGUGAACACCGUUUGCAAGAUGAUCAGUAGUGUAUGGAUACUAGAUGAGCGGUGUCUAGUAUUCAGAAAGAACUGACGUGCCUUUCCAAUUCAGGGGUUGACGACCUCCGCAACAUGUGUAUGUACAUUCGAUUCCGUCUCAACAAGAAAGGUUUGCGCCCCAUAUACUGUCUUUAGCUGCAAACUCCGUCAUACACUUAUGUAUAAUAUCUUGUUUCAUAAUACAUGUCGCUCGAAUCAAUCUUAAUGCUUGUUUC